GUGCUAGCUUCAGUAACCCAUAUACUAAAAUUGGACCAAUACAGAGAUUGGCAUGGCCCCUGCAUGAGGAUAACAUGCAAAUUAGUGGAGCCCUUUUUU
Molecule: small nuclear RNA, 99 nt
Organism: Tupaia belangeri (northern tree shrew)
Lineage: Eukaryota; Metazoa; Chordata; Mammalia; Scandentia; Tupaiidae
Source: Ensembl